ACAAACUUGGUCAUUUAGAGGAAGUAAAAGUCGUAACAAGGUCUCCGUUGGUGAACCAGCGGAGGGAUCAUUACAGAGUUUACAACUCCCAAACCCAAAUGUGAACAUACCCAUUGUUGCUUCGGCGUUACCCCGCACCGGCGUCCGGACGGCCCCACACGGCCGACCGCGACCCGGAUCCAUGCGGUCGCCGAGGACCAAACCAAAACUUUUUGUAUUCUCAGUUUCUUCUGAAUCCGCCGCAAGGCAAAACAAAUGAAUCAAAACUUUCAACAACGGAUCUCUUGGUUCUGGCAUCGAUGAAGAACGCAGC
RNAcentral lists this unclassified non-coding RNA (313 nucleotides) under uncultured fungus. RNAcentral describes it as "partial contains small subunit ribosomal RNA, internal transcribed spacer 1, and 5.8S ribosomal RNA". The stretch from base 1 to 73 matches the Rfam family "Eukaryotic small subunit ribosomal RNA", at positions 1759 to 1831 of the family's 1831-position model. Lineage: Eukaryota; Fungi. The record is from RNAcentral.